Acanthosepion pharaonis is the source of this 106-nucleotide non-coding RNA. The record is from the annotation of a GenBank genome assembly. Lineage: Eukaryota; Metazoa; Mollusca; Cephalopoda; Sepiida; Sepiidae.
CCAUAUCAUGUUGAAACACCAGUUCUUGUCCAAUCACUGAAGUUAAGCAACAUCAAGCCUGGUCAGUACCUAGAUGGGUGACCACUUGAGAAUAACAGGUGCUAUA